Long non-coding RNA from Brassica oleracea var. oleracea, 401 nucleotides. RefSeq lists it as uncharacterized. The transcript has 3 exons. The record is from RefSeq and is a predicted model, not a curated record. Lineage: Eukaryota; Viridiplantae; Streptophyta; Magnoliopsida; Brassicales; Brassicaceae.
CUUUGUGUGGCAAAGGCGUGUCACGUUGUGCAUUUUUAUCUGCCAAAAGAAAAACAAAACAUCUAAUCAUGUCAUCUGCAACCCUUCAGGUUCAGGAAGAAGAAGAACACUAGAGAAAACAGCAAAUAGAAGCCAAAACGCCAUUUUUGGACCUUAAGGCGUUGAUUAUAGCUGGUGUGAAUUCUUCAAGGAGGUUAAUCGAUGUUGAGUUAGUCUCGUAAGCUAAAAUUGCUUGGGGAUUAAGCAAAGAGAGGGAGAUUGUAACUAUCAUAGAAGGUCACGCUUAGGUUAGAUAUCAAAAUCCAUGAAGGCUAUUGUUCAGGAUGUACAAAAACAUUGAGGAAGUCUCGAAUGAAGUGUUUGUAAUUUUAUUUUCCAAGCAAUUGACGUAACUCCCUUUU